ACUUAAAUAGUUUAAGAUAAAAUAUAAGUUUGUGGAGCUUGAGAUGUAAAAAGUUACUUUAAGUU
RNAcentral lists this transfer RNA (65 nucleotides) under Hemigrapsus sinensis. RNAcentral's name for it is "tRNA-His". It matches the Rfam family "tRNA". Rfam says of the family: Transfer RNA (tRNA) molecules are approximately 80 nucleotides in length. Their secondary structure includes four short double-helical elements and three loops (D, anti-codon, and T loops). The record is from RNAcentral. Lineage: Eukaryota; Metazoa; Arthropoda; Malacostraca; Decapoda; Varunidae.